RNAcentral lists this ribosomal RNA (114 nucleotides) under Acanthosepion pharaonis. Lineage: Eukaryota; Metazoa; Mollusca; Cephalopoda; Sepiida; Sepiidae. The record is from RNAcentral.
UUAUGGCCAUACCACAUUGAAACACCAGUUCCUGUACAAUCACUAAAGUUAAGCAACAUUGAGCCUGGUCAGUACAUAGAUGGGUCACCACUUGGAAAUACCAGGUGCUGUAAG